Molecule: long non-coding RNA, 1051 nt
Organism: Manihot esculenta (cassava)
Lineage: Eukaryota; Viridiplantae; Streptophyta; Magnoliopsida; Malpighiales; Euphorbiaceae
Exons: 2
Source: RefSeq, a predicted model, not a curated record
UAGCUAAUUAUCCUCUUAAUGGUAUUUACAUUGUGCGUAGAAAAUUAUAAUUGUUUGGAAGUUGGUUUCUGACUAGUAUCUAUUUAUGAUUAAAAGCCUUUUGUUCUUAGAGAAGAGAAUGUAUAUUUAGCACAUGUUCAUACGUAUGCUCAUGUAAUUCUGCUCUCUCUUUUCAAACUCUCUCUCUUUGUUUUUAAGAGAGUUUUUCUCUGUUUUUUUGCUUUUCUUCAUGAGGCGAAGGGCCUCGAUUCGUGCCGGUUCGCGGCUACUCAUGUCACGACCUGCAGGGGUGGCUCCCUCCACCUCACCCAGAAGUGGGUUUCUUCCUCCCUACCCUUCCAGAUGGAGGAUCCUUGACGGUGCUGUUCCCAAUUUGUUCUUCCACUAUUAGGAAACGAUGGAGAUCCAUACUUUUCGAUCUCGCAGUCGACGCUUUUGUCUUGAAUUCUCCUUCCUUGGCUCUAGGGGUAGUCGGUAGACUCGAUCAUAGAAAUCUCUCUUCUCUUUUUCUUGCAUUCGUCAUUUAUCUCUCAACCUUGCUGGGAUUACAUACAUUUUCUUUACUUGGUGCUGCCCUUUGUAUCUGUUUCUUUGGUCGCUAGAGGUCGACAAGGGUCCCUUCCUCGCUCUUCAAUUCGUGUUUUAAGGCUUUCAUACAUUUCCUUUACUUGGUGCUGCCCUUUGUAUCUAUUGCUUUGGUUGCUAGAGGUCGACAAGGGUCCCUUCCUCGCUCUUCAAUUCGCGUUUUAAGGCUUUCAAAGGCUACUGUUUGGAAAGAAAUCCUUUUCUUCUUGUCGACGAUGGUGAUGGAGUUUCUUGACAAAAGUCGGAGGCUCCGUUGUUUGUUGCAACCAGGUCGAGGUAUGGAUCAAGUGGAUUUUUGAUUCUUUAGGUUUGUGUUUGGACGGUAUAUUUUAAUCUUUUGGGCCCUAUGAUUCUUUGUUGUUAUUGAGGCCUUGGACCUUUAAAUGUAAUCUUGAGCCUUGGACUUCUCCUCAAUGAACUUCAUAUCUUAGGAUAAAAAAUGCUCAUGUAAUUUAACCAAGUGCCA